AAGACCUUGCGCUUUUGGAGCGGCCGAUGCCUGAUUAGCUAGUUGGUGGGGUAAUGGCCUACCAAAGCUUCGAUCAGUAGCUGGUCUGAGAGGACGGCCAGCCACACUGGGACUGAGACACGGCCCAGACUCCUACGGGAGGCAGCAGUGGGGAAUUUUGGACAAUGGGCGCAAGCCUGAUCCAGCCAUGCCGCGUGAGUGAAGAAGGCCUUCGGGUUGUAAAGCUCUUUCAGCCGGGAAGAAAAGGUUGCGAUUAAUAAUCGCAAUUUAUGACGGUACCGGAAGAAGAAGCACCGGCUAACUACGUGCCAGCAGCCGCGGUAAUACGGAGGGUGCGAGCGUUAAUCGGAAUUACUGGGCGUAAAGGGUGCGCAGGCGGUUUUGUAAGUCAGAUGUGAAAUCCCCGGGCUUAACCUGGGAACU
Molecule: ribosomal RNA, 423 nt
Filed under: uncultured bacterium
Lineage: Bacteria
Description: bacterial SSU rRNA
Rfam family: Bacterial small subunit ribosomal RNA
Source: RNAcentral